RNAcentral lists this ribosomal RNA (465 nucleotides) under uncultured Erysipelothrix sp. Its description in RNAcentral is "bacterial SSU rRNA". It matches the Rfam family "Bacterial small subunit ribosomal RNA", at positions 914 to 1382 of the family's 1533-position model. The record is from RNAcentral. Lineage: Bacteria; Bacillati; Bacillota; Erysipelotrichia; Erysipelotrichales; Erysipelotrichaceae.
ACCGGGACCCCGACACAAGCGGUGGAUUAUGUUGUUUAAUUCGACGCAACGCGAAGAACCUUACCAGGCCUUGACAUACUCGGCAAAGCUCUAGAGAUAGAGUGGAGGUUAUCCGGGAUACAGGUGGUGCAUGGUUGUCGUCAGCUCGUGUCGUGAGAUGUUGGGUUAAGUCCCGCAACGAGCGCAACCCUUGUCUUUAGUUACCAUCAUUCAGUUGGGGACUCUAGAGAGACUGCCGGUGAUAAACCGGAGAAGGUGGGGAUGACGUCAAAUCAUCAUGCCCCUUAUGGCCUGGGCUACAAACGUAAUACAAUGGCGUAUACAAAGGGAUGCGAAAGGGCGACCUGGAGCAAAACUCACAAAGUACGUCUCAGUUCAGAUUGGAGUCUGCAACUCGACUCCAUGAAGGCGGAAUCGCUAGUAAUCGCGGAUCAGCAUGCCGCGGUGAAUACGUUCUCGGGGUUU